Molecule: ribosomal RNA, 1092 nt
Filed under: Candidatus Nealsonbacteria bacterium CG_4_8_14_3_um_filter_39_7
Lineage: Bacteria; Candidatus Nealsoniibacteriota
Description: bacterial SSU rRNA
Rfam family: Bacterial small subunit ribosomal RNA
Source: RNAcentral
GAAGCCCUUCGGGGUGUAAAGAGCUUUUCUCUGUGAACAAUUUUGUAGCAAUGCGGAAUGAGUGUAAUAGAGGAAUAAGGGGGGGCUAACUCUGUGCCAGAAGCCUCGGUAAGACAGAGCCCCCAAGCGUUAUCCGGAUUUAUUGGGCGUAAAGGGUCCGUAGGCGGUUUAGUAAGUUUGAUGUCAAAUAUCCCAGGCUUAACCCGGGAAACAUAUCAAAUACUGCUGAACUAGAGGGCGCUAGAGGUUGAUAGAACGAUCGGUGUAGGGGUGAAAUCCGUUGAUAUCGAUCGGAAUACCAAAUGCGAAGGCAUUCAACUGGGGCGACCCUGACGCUGAGGGACGAAAGCGUGGGGAUCAAAAAGGAUUAGAUACCCUUGUAGUCCACGCUGUAAAUUAUGGAUACUAGCUAUCUGAAGUGUCGACCCUUUAGGUGGCGAAGCUAACGCGUUAAGUAUCCCGCCUGGGGAGUACGGCCGCAAGGCUAAAACUCAAAGGAAUAGACGGGGAUUCACACAAGCGGUGGAUCAUGUGGCUUAAUUCGACGGUAAACGAGGAACCUUACCAGGACUUGAAAUGCUAAUGACGUUCUGCAGAAAUGCGAACUUCCCACAAGGACAUUAGCACAGGUGCUGCAUGGUUGUCGUCAGUUCGUGUCUUGAGACGUACGCUUAAGUGCGGUAACGAACGCAACCCUUGCCCUAUGUUUUAAAUGUCAUAGGGGACUGCCCGGGACAACCGGGAGGAAGGCGAGGAUGACGCCAAAUCAGCAUGGCCCUUUGACGUCCUGGGCUGCACACGUGAUACAAUGGGACAGACAAUGGGUAACCAAAGCGCAAGCUGGAGUUAAUCUUAUCAAACUGUCCCCCAAUUCGGAUUGAGGUCUGCAACUCGACCUCAUGAAGCCGGAAUCGCUAGUAAUCGCCAAUCAGCUAUGUGGCGAUGAAUACGUCCCUGAAUCUUGUACUCACCGCCCGUCACAUUAGGGAAGUCGAUAAUAGCCGAAAUCCCCGUUCGCGGGGCAUAAGCUAAGAUCGGUAACAAGAAUGAAGUCGUAACAAGGCAUGCGUAGGGGAACCUGCGCAUAGAUCA